AUUCAAAUUCCUGAGUGGUCACGGACUUGGAGGGAACAACUUGCUGGCCUUUGUGAUGAGACAGCAGAGAAAGCGGGACAGGAAAGACAGGGAAGAGAGAGGAGAUGACAUGCAGCAAAGGACCUGAAGUCUGGCUUGAACCCAAGUUACCAUCGCAAGGACUCCCCCAGAAUUGAUCAUGUCAAGACCACAGUGAAGACCUGAUGGACAACAUGAGACUCUACAAUCAGAGCUGGUGACUGGUGAAUGCUGAGCGAAUCUUUACCCAUGAUCAACCCAGGUCAAGUGGCUCAUUCAUGGACUAAUCCUUAUAUGGACACAUGAUGCUUUGUGAGUAUACUUGACAUGUUGGAUCAGUUCCAUCUUUUUUCAGAGAAUGUGUUAAUGCAAGAACAGUUUCUUCAGGUUUGUCAAUGAUAGUUGGCACAACGGGCUUUAUUUGCUAUUUUGUUAAUCACUAUAGGGUUUUAGGCUGUUGCUGACUGGAAAAUCUGUGCCAGCCAAUUGUAAUUCCUCAUGUGUUUUACUGUAUUUUUUAAGAUGACAUUACUGGCAACCACACCUGCCAGUAAUUUACCGUAUAUUUGGAAAACCAACUGUAAUUUCUAAUAUGUUGUACUGUAUUUUUUACGAUGAAAUUCUGGCAACCACAGCUGCCAGUAAUUUACUGUAAAUUUUAAC
Long non-coding RNA from Stegastes partitus (bicolor damselfish), 681 nucleotides. RefSeq lists it as uncharacterized. The transcript is spliced from 3 exons. The record is from RefSeq and is a predicted model, not a curated record. NCBI's taxonomy places the organism in Eukaryota, Metazoa, Chordata, Actinopteri, Pomacentridae.